UCGUUUUUUUCCAACUGCCUCUGACAGCCUCUGAUCUCCUGAAUGUGCUAUGCCAGGAAGAGCCAACUCCAAUAUUCCAAGCGUGCCUCAUCGAAUGAGUUUCCAUACGAUGUGCUGCUUGGACACUAGAAGUUAUCCUUGUACAGGAACUCCGAGGCGAUUUGAAGGACACAUGCCCCUGCUGAGCCCUUGCUGCUCAGAGAUAAAAUCCCCACAGGUUAUUUAUGCAUAACAUUGCUUCCUGUUUGCAUCAAACAGUCUCGCUUUGGACACUUCCUGAAACUUUAUUAAAAAUUGACUUUUCGAUGUGGCUCUGAGACUGAUCCUCUCAGGAAUGAGUGGUUAGAUGCUUGAUGAAGUGUCAGACGACCAAUCAACAGUAGACCUUUCUCUUCAAAGAGAUUGUACGACGCUUAUCGGAAAGACUUACGGGUCUUGGCUUCUGUGUCUAUCUGUUCUCUCUCCCGACCAAUUAUCAAGCCCAGCUGUGGGAAAACAUCUGCUAUAUCCUGUCGCUCUAUAUACUACUCACCAAAUAUUAAACUGGAUCAGAAAAAUGAAUUGGCAGGGAGUAUAGAGAAGCCGCAAGGAAUAGCCAAAGCAGAGUGUUUUGGCAUACUUCGCCUCGACUCUGACUAAUAUUACUGAGGACAUUGUCCGUCAUAAUUCUUAGCAUCCAAGUAAGUAAUUUCUUUUAGACUUAAGUACCAAAUACGUUUUGCUUCUCUCUAGGACAUCAGUGCUUUUCUCCUCAUGGACAAUGCAUGUAGCUGUAGUUACAGUUAACAAUGUAACUGACAACAUUUCCAUUUUUACUUCUGGUGGCAAGUAACUUAGAAACACUUCAGAAUCAAGUACUGUUACUCUUUUGGACCUCUUGGCCUAUAAAUUGGAGUUCUAAUGUUUCCCUCUGAUUCUAACAAUAUAAUCUGUUUUAUAUCUUUCUUGGUGUUUAAUUUAAUUUAAUUUAACUUAAAUUUUUUCUGGCAUAUGUUACCUUUAGGUCACCUCAGAACCUUUGUGAUUUAAGGAAGAUUAUCAAUCAGUUAAUAAAAAAAAAAAGCCAGAAGUUUCCAGUCAUUCUCAUAGGUUGUUUUCCUGCACCAUUUCUGACAAAUGGUCAGGGCCUGUGUGUUUUUUGGAUCAUCAUGUCAGGAGAAGGAUGCUUGGAAGAAAAAGCCAGAGUUCUCCUGACGUUGGUUUCCCCUGACAUCUCCCGCUAUCCAAGGCGGCUCAUUUGUCUCUGAGCCAAACUGCCAGGAUUCUCAGAGUCCUGCCUCCUCUUGGAAGUAAAGGGACUGAGGUUUGAAAGAGACAAUUUAUCUCCUCCAUGGAAGCAAAAAAGACCCCUACCUUUGUGGUAUAAAAUGUUGGAACUUUUAGGAUUAGUUUUCUUAUUUCUACCAUCAACCUAAUUAAACAACUACAUUUUGUCUGAAAGGAAGAUCGGAGUUAUUUUUAUAGUUUCACACCUGUGCGUAGGGCUCCAGGUUUGCCAACAAAAAGAACAACAAAAAGUACUGGGUGAAGUGGGUCAUUUGGACACGACAGAUUGCAGCGCACCGUCUCCUCCUUGCCUGUGGAGG
Long non-coding RNA from Panthera uncia (snow leopard), 1586 nucleotides. RefSeq lists it as uncharacterized. NCBI's taxonomy places the organism in Eukaryota, Metazoa, Chordata, Mammalia, Carnivora, Felidae. The record is from RefSeq and is a predicted model, not a curated record. The transcript is spliced from 5 exons.